RNAcentral lists this transfer RNA (62 nucleotides) under Ictidomys tridecemlineatus (thirteen-lined ground squirrel). RNAcentral describes it as "Spermophilus tridecemlineatus (thirteen-lined ground squirrel) tRNA". It matches the Rfam family "tRNA". From Rfam's summary of the family: Transfer RNA (tRNA) molecules are approximately 80 nucleotides in length. Their secondary structure includes four short double-helical elements and three loops (D, anti-codon, and T loops). Lineage: Eukaryota; Metazoa; Chordata; Mammalia; Rodentia; Sciuridae. The record is from Rfam by way of RNAcentral.
GGGGUGGUAGCUUAGUGGUAGAGCACUUGCCUAGCAAGCUUGAUGCCCUAGGUUUCACCCCA